Molecule: long non-coding RNA, 761 nt
Filed under: Equus asinus (donkey)
Lineage: Eukaryota; Metazoa; Chordata; Mammalia; Perissodactyla; Equidae
Description: lncRNA (ENSEASG00005026164.1)
Source: RNAcentral
CACCAGCCCCGCCCACCAAAUGGGGCAACCACGCCCCCAGCCUCCCCCAUGGCUCCGCCCCACCAGGAUAACUGACCAGUGUCCAGUGGCCUGAAAGCCAGGGUCACCCUGUCCCGCUCGGGAGCAGGCGCCCUGCUGCCUGGCCACUCAAGGCCCAGAGGCCCCUUCCUGGGGCUGGGGCGCCCCACUGGUCAUCGCCGAGGAUCCUCCCUUGCCGCUCCCUCCACCUGGGGAAGCUCCUGUCCACCUGCCGCGCUCUACAUGAUUAAACACGCACGGUUCAUUUGCCCUCCAGCUUUUCAGACAGAAAUUGAGGAAAAUACAGACAAGUGGAGAGAGAUGUCCGACAUUCAGAGAAAUGGACACAUUCACGCAUGGCUGCUAGGAGCAGGGCUCUCCCCAAAAAGUGUUCCUCAAGGAAGCAACCUAGAUGCCCAACCAUAAGGGAUCAGUUUAAUAAAUCAAGGAAGAGCCCCCCAGACGGACGAUUAUGAAGCCUUUCAGCACAAGAGGGGAGACUGGUAUUGCUGGGUGUGGGAAGUGGGCCUCCACUGACAAAUCAUGUGUACAGUGUGAUUCCACUUUGGCUAAGAAAAGAAAAGAGAAAUAAAAAAAUCUAGAAUGAAAUAGACCAUCAUGCUAGGAUCAGUGAUUUCUGAGUGUUGAUUUUAUUUUUAAAAUUUCAUGCACUCAACAGAGCUUGAUGGAGGACCCGGCGUGGGCCAGCCGGCCAAGGGCAGGGCCGCUGUCUGAAGGUCACC